Molecule: transfer RNA, 73 nt
Filed under: Ignavibacteria bacterium RIFOXYA2_FULL_35_10
Lineage: Bacteria; Pseudomonadati; Ignavibacteriota; Ignavibacteria
Also listed under: 1 other name
Description: tRNA-Thr
Rfam family: tRNA
About the family: Transfer RNA (tRNA) molecules are approximately 80 nucleotides in length. Their secondary structure includes four short double-helical elements and three loops (D, anti-codon, and T loops). Further hydrogen bonds mediate the characteristic L-shaped molecular structure. tRNAs have two regions of fundamental functional importance: the anti-codon, which is responsible for specific mRNA codon recognition, and the 3' end, to which the tRNAs corresponding amino acid is attached (by aminoacyl-tRNA synthetases). tRNAs cope with the degeneracy of the genetic code in two manners: having more than one tRNA (with a specific anti-codon) for a particular amino acid; and 'wobble' base-pairing, i.e. permitting non-standard base-pairing at the 3rd anti-codon position.
Source: RNAcentral
GCCACCUUAGCUCAGUUGGUAGAGCAGCUGAUUUGUAAUCAGCAGGCCGACGGUUCGAGUCCGCCAGGUGGCU